RNAcentral lists this ribosomal RNA (273 nucleotides) under uncultured prokaryote. Its description in RNAcentral is "partial 16S ribosomal RNA". It matches the Rfam family "Bacterial small subunit ribosomal RNA", at positions 524 to 796 of the family's 1533-position model. The record is from RNAcentral.
UACGGGGGGUGCAAGCGUUGUUCGGAAUCAUUGGGCGUAAAGAGCGUGUAGGCGGCUUGGUAAGUCAGAUGUGAAAGCCCUGGGCUCAACCCGGGAAGUGCAUUUGAAACUGCCAGGCUCGAGUAGGGGAGAGGGAAGUGGAAUUCCUGGUGUAGAGGUGAAAUUCGUAGAUAUCAGGAGGAACACCGGUGGCGAAGGCGACUUCCUGGCCCUAUACUGACGCUGAGACGCGAGAGCGUGGGUAGCAAACAGGAUUAGAAACCCCCGUAGUCC